UGUGGAUUGAACUGGUUUCUAUUCCUGCCGGAGGAGGAUGAGAGCCAAGGAGGUUUAACGAUCUAACUGCAAUUUGCAUAUAAAGCUAUGAGGCGAAGCAGGCAGACUUUCCAUUACCCAGCCGAUAACGGCUCCUUCCCGAGCAAAUGGCUUUCUGGAGGGAUCCAACAGCCCACGUGGGGGAUGCGGGCCGGGCUCCAGCAAGGCUGCGGCAGGGCCCUCUGCACACGCUGGGCCUGGCUUGGGCUGGCCUCUAGGACCGGCAGGGUGGCUCCUUCUGGAAGAGUGGAUAAAACACAAUCUGCCCCUCCCUCCCCAAGCGAGGCAGGGCUGUUCCUGCUGCCUGUGUGCUCUGUGGGUGCCCGAGCAGAGGGCUUGGGUGUCUGUCCUGGGUGGGCAUUGCCUUGGGGAAAUGGGUCUAAAGCUGGAACCUCUCUGAUGCUCUCCAAAUGAUGUGUGUGUGUGUGUGUGUGUGUGUUUGUGUGUGCGCGUACACACACGGGGCUGGACCCUGGAGGGCAGGUUGGGACUCAGAUCUCCCUGACUUCCUCUAGGACAAUUCCCAGGUCAGUAUGUCCUCAUUGUCAGCUUCACUGGCCCCAGAAGAGCUAUGGCAAGGUGUGUAGUGGACAGAUGGGCAUUAGCCUUGGGAGAGCUUCCCUUUCUACCUGGGUGUCUCUGCUGCACCCCAUGGUGCCAGGAAGAAAUGGUGCCAUUGGGUGCUGAGAGCAGGAAGUCCAGGGACAUUCUGGGCUUGGAAAAUGUGGGCGUGUCAUGUGCAGUGGACUCAGAGAGAACGUGUUGGUGGGACUUGGUCCACAGGUCUCUAGCCUAGUGGGCACUGGUACCCAGGAUGGAGUGUGGUCCUCAGUAACAGAAACAAUGGAGGGCCACGGACGGUCACAGCAGAAGGGCUGUGCCCCGGAGAAUGUGCCUGCACACCGACUUGAAGGAGAAGCUCCCAAGAGCUGCUGACACUAAGCUGUCCACCCCGAGCCCCAUGACCCCAACAAGAGAGGCCCAUGCCCUCCACCCAGGACUGUGAAGGCGACUUCUGUUGGAGAUAAAGGUUCCUGCAGGUAGAAUUAAGUAAAGAUCUUGAAGUGUGAUCAUCCUGGAGAGAGGGCAGGUCCCCAAUCCAACGACGGUGCAGCCGGCCUCCCACAGCUGUGGAUCCAGCAAACCACAGAUUGAAAAUGUGCUGGAAAAAAACUGCAGCCGCACUGAACAGGUUCAGACUCCUCUCUUGUCACUACUGCCCUCACGCACAGCGCAGCAGCUAUUCACGCGGCAUCUGCAUUGUGCUAAGUAAUCUGGAGAUGGUUUCAAGAACACGGCGGCGGUCCACAGGUUAUGUGCAGACCCUGCACCAUCGUGUGCAAGGAGCUAGGGCAUCUUGGGAUUUGGGUAUCCACGGGGGUCCUGGAGCCCACGUCCCAUCCCCUAGGAGAAGACAGGAGAAUAUGGAGUUGCAAAGGGGACAGCCCUGUGGCCAGGAGGCAGAGACUGGAGCAAUGCAGCCACCAGCCAGGGACACCUAUAGCUACCAGAAGCUGGAAGAGGUGGCGGGACCUUCCGAGACUUUGGAGGGAACCCUGCAGACACCUGCCGUUGGCCCCUGGGCUCCGGAGCUGCGAGGCACCAGCCUCCUCCCAUAGAGGACCCUUGCUAAAGCCGCGGUCAGGGCACGUCCUGUGCCAGGCUGGUGCGGGUGCCAGGCCUUGUGCUAUGCAGCCUCUAUCACAGCCGUAGAUGCUUCUGCCUGGUUCUGAAAUCCAGCCGCAGGCCAUGCAUGUGCGUGCAAGCGCGGCUGCAAACCCAAGGACACUCUGUGGACCUGAAAUUCAAUGCUCAUGUCAUUUCACAUGUUGUAAACUAUUUUCCUUCUUUGGAUGUCUUUUCCAACCUGUUAAAAGCGUAAAAGCCACUCUUAGUUGGCAGCCAGUCCAACAACAGGCAGUGAGCUGGGCUUGGCGGCAGCCACGGUUGGUGACCUCUGAGCCAGACGAGCCGGGAGAGCAGAGUGUGUGGGACGUAGACUGUGCUCCUGGGCAUCUGCUCCUGCUCCCUGAGGGCCGAGGGCACCUCAGGCCAGAGCGGGACAGGCACCCGGCUGGAGCCAGCGACCCUUCCCACUGAGCCCAGCUGCGUCCAGUCGGUGAGCAUCACCAGCUGCCCAGUCCACAGAGCCCCCUUUCCUUGACUUUAAAUAUGGAGCAUUUUAAAUGUUAAAGAGCUUGAUAAAAAACAGCUUGCGACAGAGUUGAAACAGCGUGGAGGGCGGCCACCACCGCAGCUCCUUUCUGUAAGGAGCUGGUUAUGAAGAGCAC
This 2330-nucleotide long non-coding RNA is filed under the name Marmota monax (woodchuck). Lineage: Eukaryota; Metazoa; Chordata; Mammalia; Rodentia; Sciuridae. The record is from RNAcentral.